Brachypodium distachyon (stiff brome) is the source of this 102-nucleotide non-coding RNA. RefSeq annotates it as microRNA MIR167f. The record is from RefSeq and is marked provisional. Lineage: Eukaryota; Viridiplantae; Streptophyta; Magnoliopsida; Poales; Poaceae. The transcript has a single exon.
GUGAAAGAGUGAAGCUGCCAGCAUGAUCUAGCUUUGAUCCAAUGUAUGUCUCUACGUGUGGAUCCUUGUUAGAUCAUGCCUGACAGCCUCAUUUCUUCGCAA